CGCUGGCGGCAUGCCUUACACAUGCAAGUCGAACGGCAGCAACGGGAGCAAUCCUCGGUGGCGAGUGGCGAACGGGUGAGUAAUAUAUCGGAAACGUGCCCAGUCGUGGGGGAUAACGUAGCGAAAGCUACGCUAAUACCGCAUACGAUCUAUGGAUGAAAGCGGGGGAUCGCAAGACCUCGCGCGAUUGGAGCGGCCGAUAUCAGAUUAGGUAGUUGGUGAGGUAAAGGCUCACCAAGCCGACGAUCUGUAGCUGGUCUGAGAGGACGACCAGCCACACUGGGACUGAGACACGGCCCAGACUCCUACGGGAGGCAGCAGUGGGAAUUUUGGACAAUGGGCGCAAGCCUGAUCCAGCAAUGCCGCGUGCAGGAUGAAGGCCUUCGGGUUGUAAACUGCUUUGUACGGAACGAAACGGUGAGCUCUAAUACAGUUUGCUAAUGACGGUACCGUAAGAAUAAGCACCGGCUAACUACGUG
RNAcentral lists this ribosomal RNA (479 nucleotides) under uncultured bacterium. RNAcentral describes it as "bacterial SSU rRNA". It matches the Rfam family "Bacterial small subunit ribosomal RNA", at positions 34 to 507 of the family's 1533-position model. The record is from RNAcentral.